Molecule: ribosomal RNA, 1538 nt
Filed under: Enterobacter cloacae
Lineage: Bacteria; Pseudomonadati; Pseudomonadota; Gammaproteobacteria; Enterobacterales; Enterobacteriaceae
Description: partial 23S ribosomal RNA
Rfam family: Bacterial large subunit ribosomal RNA
Source: RNAcentral
GGGUUGUGAGGUUAAGCGACUAAGCGUACACGGUGGAUGCCCUGGCAGUCAGAGGCGAUGAAGGACGUGCUAAUCUGCGAAAAGCGCCGGCGAGGUGAUAUGAACCCUUGACCCGGCGAUGUCCGAAUGGGGAAACCCAGUGUGAUUCGUCACACUAUCGUUAACNNNNNNNNNNCACUAUCGUUAACUGAAUACAUAGGUUAACGAGGCGAACCGGGGGAACUGAAACAUCUAAGUACCCCGAGGAAAAGAAAUCAACCGAGAUUCCCCCAGUAGCGGCGAGCGAACGGGGAGCAGCCCAGAGUCUGAAUCAGCUUGUGUGUUAGUGGAAGCGUCUGGAAAGUCGCACGGUACAGGGUGAAAGUCCCGUACACGAAAAUGCACAGGUUGUGAACUCGAAGAGUAGGGCGGGACACGUGGUAUCCUGUCUGAAUAUGGGGGGACCAUCCUCCAAGGCUAAAUACUCCUGACUGACCGAUAGUGAACCAGUACCGUGAGGGAAAGGCGAAAAGAACCCCGGCGAGGGGAGUGAAAAAGAACCUGAAACCGUGUACGUACAAGCAGUGGGAGCACCUUCGUGGUGUGACUGCGUACCUUUUGUAUAAUGGGUCAGCGACUUAUAUUCUGUAGCAAGGUUAACCGUAUAGGGGAGCCGAAGGGAAACCGAGUCUUAACUGGGCGUUAAGUUGCAGGGUAUAGACCCGAAACCCGGUGAUCUAGCCAUGGGCAGGUUGAAGGUUGGGUAACACUAACUGGAGGACCGAACCGACUAAUGUUGAAAAAUUAGCGGAUGACUUGUGGCUGGGGGUGAAAGGCCAAUCAAACCGGGAGAUAGCUGGUUCUCCCCGAAAGCUAUUUAGGUAGCGCCUCGUGAACUCAUCUUCGGGGGUAGAGCACUGUUUCGGCUAGGGGGCCAUCCCGGCUUACCAACCCGAUGCAAACUACGAAUACCGAAGAAUGUUAUCACGGGAGACACACGGCGGGUGCUAACGUCCGUCGUGAAGAGGGAAACAACCCAGACCGCCAGCUAAGGUCCCAAAGUCAUGGUUAAGUGGGAAACGAUGUGGGAAGGCCCAGACAGCCAGGAUGUUGGCUUAGAAGCAGCCAUCAUUUAAAGAAAGCGUAAUAGCUCACUGGUCGAGUCGGCCUGCGCGGAAGAUGUAACGGGGCUAAACCAUGCACCGAAGCUGCGGCAGCGACACUAUGUGUUGUUGGGUAGGGGAGCGUUCUGUAAGCCGUUGAAGGUGGCCUGUGAGGGUUGCUGGAGGUAUCAGAAGUGCGAAUGCUGACAUAAGUAACGAUAAAGCGGGUGAAAAGCCCGCUCGCCGGAAGACCAAGGGUUCCUGUCCAACGUUAAUCGGGGCAGGGUGAGUCGACCCCUAAGGCGAGGCCGAAAGGCGUAGUCGAUGGGAAACAGGUUAAUAUUCCUGUACUUGGUGUUACUGCGAAGGGGGGACGGAGAAGGCUAUGUUAGCCGGGCGACGGUUGUCCCGGUUUAAGCAUGUAGGCGGAGGUUCCAGGUAAAUCCGGUACCUUUU